GACUGACCAGGCACUGCCUGGCCCCCAGGAGGUCCAGCUGGGAGGAGGCCCGUGGCUGGCUGAGCCAGGGUCUGCAGUGGCUAUGAAUUCUAGUUAGGUCCAAAAGUCCAGAUGGGUGACCUGAUGGGACCCCUGGCCUCAUGGCCACACAACUCACCACCAGCACGCAUACUCAGAAACUGGCCGCAGUUUGGCUGUGGACAGAGGCAGCCGGCUCAGCCACGGCUUCCGGAACCAGAACACAAGCCGUCCAGCUCCUGAUGGCCCUGGGACAUGCAUGUCCUGCUGGGUGCUGUGACCAGUCCUCCAGCUGGUGCAGGGCCACACUCACAUACCAUAGGACAGACAAGAGAACACCCAAACCCAGCCCUCCACCCACAUGCCAGGUGGAAGAAACGCAGAAGUCAGACCGUCGCCCAUUCGACCCCGCUGAGACGGCUCCUAUUCCUGCCGCGCCGGGAAGGUCUGAGCUCCCAGCCUCUGAGUGGGCCGUGUGCUGCUUUGGUCUGAGCUCCCAGCCUCUGAGUGGGCUGUGCGCUGCUUUGGUCUGAGCUCCCAGCCUCUGAGUGGGCCGUGCGCUGCUUUGGUCUGAGCUCCCAGCCUCUGAGUGGGCCGUGUGCUGCUCUCUGAUCGCUAGCUUUAAAAAAGUCUAUUUCUGUGAAAGGCAGAGAGCUGCUUGUCCUCAGGCAAGAAAGGAUUCGGACGUGACACAGAGCGGCAGUCAGGGUGCACCUGGCGGAGCGGGCGGCGCCCCAGCGUCUCAGCCUUUCAGGGCUGCAGAUCCGCAGACCUGCCCCCUUCUGCCCGCCCCCGUGGUGAACCACCUGCUGCUUCUGGGAUACGACUAGGUAGAGGGCAUGAAGUUCCUGAAAUCCCCCCCCUUUCAGCCCCAAGGGUGUGGGGCAGGGAGGACCCCCCUCUGCCGUCCUCUGGAGAGGGCUGGGACCACCCCCCCCCCACACACACGGUUAUCAACAGUGAGACUGGAUGAGUCGCUGCUGGCCGGCGCACAGCUGUCUGUGUUCCAGCACACAGGAAUGCCCUUUUUCUUCAGCCCCCUCGCAGGCUGGUGUCCAACGACCCGCCAAGCCUGGCCCGGGCCAGAACAUGAUCUCGGACGGAACAUUUCCAGGCCUUGGUGCUGACCACAGCCGUCGACUCGGUGGGUGGAUGCCGCGGGGUGCUCAGCAAAGCCAGGGGGUGACUGACAGCCUGGCCUCCAUGCUGAGAUCGGCGUGGGGCCCGCUGUGGCCCUAAUCGAAGCACCUUCCUUUCCUUGCCCUUUUUUUCUUAUCUUAUAUAAUAAAACCCAGCUUCCGGUAUUGUGAAUUACCUGC
Molecule: long non-coding RNA, 1337 nt
Filed under: Oryctolagus cuniculus (rabbit)
Lineage: Eukaryota; Metazoa; Chordata; Mammalia; Lagomorpha; Leporidae
Description: lncRNA (ENSOCUG00000030056.1)
Source: RNAcentral